Non-coding RNA from Prunus mume (Japanese apricot), 1880 nucleotides. Lineage: Eukaryota; Viridiplantae; Streptophyta; Magnoliopsida; Rosales; Rosaceae. The record is from RefSeq and is a predicted model, not a curated record.
AAGUGAAAUGAAGGGACAGAGAAACGAACACGAAGCUUGCACUCGCGGUCACAGCCAGCGCUUCCAAGCUAAAAAACUCGGUCUUGAGGCUCUCUCUCAACUCAAGCUUCAAUUUUUUUUCUUCGGUUUCUUCUGCUGCGUUGAUUCGAUUGGUUGGGCUCUCUCAAUGGAGGCAAAGCCUUCGUCCUCGGGGUUCGACACAGACGUGCCUGGUGACGUGGACGACUACAUUUCGCAAUCCUCUUCAGAAUUUAGAGAGAAUACAAGCUAAUUUCACAGGAAGGAGAAGCCAUAGAAAAUCAGAACGCAGUGAUGACUUUGAUUGCACACUAUGCUUGAAAUUACCAUAUGAACCUGUCACAACUCCUUGUGGGCAUUUCAUGCUUAUUUCAGUCAAUGGAUCGAGUGUGACACUUAACGGCAUUAUACAGAAGAAUUUCCAAGAGGAAUUUGCCGAAAUGAAGUUGGAGAAUGAUGCAAUGACAAACUUUGGUGUUGAUUUGAUGCCACUCUUUGUAACGGAUGGUGUCUUCCUGUUUCAGAAGUUUUCGCUACAUGUUUUUUAACCUCGGUAUAGACUUAUGAUUUUUGCUUGUACCUUGUCACUUAAACAACGGGUAAGGACGAUAAUGGAAGGCAACUGUCGGAUGGGAAUUGUAGAUUACAGUCACUGGUCCCUUUCUAUCCCUUUUAACUUUCUUAAGGCAUAUAAAGUUUGACCCAGAGUAUAAGUUUCACUGAUUGUUGCUUGUUUUUUUAAUUUUGUAAGUUAUCAUUGAUUCUUCGACAGGUUCAAUAGCUGAUUUUUCUUGUGAAGUGGGAAUUACCAAGUGUGAACCACUCCCAGAUGGACGUUUCUAUUUAGAGUUAUAAUAAUACUAUUUCAUCAUAUUGAAAGUCGCCAACGGUUUCAUAUAAUUCGAUCUUGGGACCAAGAUGGGUACCAUAUGGGGUACAUGACAUAUAUCCACCAGAAGGGUCUAGAGAGAGAGCAGACGAAGAUGCAGGACAGAGUUCUUCCAUGUUUUUCCCCCUUAUAGUGGUUGCGCCUAUAUGGUUUAACUUCUAUUUCUGUCCAGUUGCGAGAAUUGACACAUAAUGCAGCAGAGUACGCUCGGUUGUGGAUAGGGCGGGGUAAAAGAGCAGCACGUCAAUGUAAACUGCUCAGGAAUGACAUCAAUUGAAUGAACUCGGAAUUUACCUUCUUUGUUGUUUUUUUUAAUGGGUUAUCUCCAUAAGUUAAAUUUCUCAAUCCUCUAUAAUAGGUAUUUGGAUGACCAUUCAGAGUAUCCUGAAUAAGAUUUUCCAUUAUUUUGGGUGAAUAUUACUGCCAGACUGAGAUUGCAUGUUUCAUUUUGGUGGUCAGUUGUAAUCGUUGGAAAUGAAAGAUUAAUUUUAUUAGGUUAAACCCUUUGUUCCACUGAAAUGUCUGUCAUAUUCAGAUUUCAUCUUUAGGAAGCUUCUGCUUGGAACAUUUGGGGAGGAUAUUUAUCUCUAGAUCAACAUAUCUUAUUUACUUGUGACAAUUUGUCUUUAUUCAAGCCAUUCAAAUUCAGUCUAUAUGUAAUGUCAGUGUACAUAAGAAUGGUUUCUUCCCUAUUCUUGUGUUCAGUAUACCUAUGUGCCCUUUUGAUGUAUGAUAAUGUUUCUUUACAAAUCGAAGACGACUUCAGAGACUUCUCGGCGUGGAAGCGAUGAUGCCUUUACGAGCGUUUCUGCUUCUAGCUUGCUUCUUUAUCAAACCUGCGUCCUCAUGAAAGGUUGGAUCUCCUAUGCUUGCAAGAUACAAGAGAGGUAUUGCACUUUUCUCCCCUUUUAACUUUGGGAAUUUCAGAUGCACGUUAGUAUGGUAUAUAUAAGAAUGAGAUGCUACUUCUAUC